Oryctolagus cuniculus (rabbit) is the source of this 2615-nucleotide non-coding RNA. The record is from RefSeq and is a predicted model, not a curated record. NCBI's taxonomy places the organism in Eukaryota, Metazoa, Chordata, Mammalia, Lagomorpha, Leporidae.
GGAAGUGGGUGGCCGUUACCAUAGCGACUGCCGGCGCUCCCGGCGCUUAGCUGAGCGACACACAGGAGAAACGCCCAGGACGGCGGGCCCAGGGCAGGUACAGCCUCCCGCCUUGUGUUAACAUCUGCGGAGCACUAAACUUUAUGUUUGCUACAGCCGUCUUUACGUAUAUUAGUGCGUUUCAUUCUCCUAAAGGCUGUUAUUCUCCCCAGCCUGUAAGAACUGGCAGUUAAACAACGGCUUUUCGAGGCAGCUUGCAAGUGGCACGGUCGGGUUUUGAACUCGGGCUGGCCACGGAAGCCCGCGUGGCCUUUCCCGCCCGGCUCUUGGCUCCGGCCACCCUGGCUUCCCGCCCUUCCUGCGGCUCCACCAGGAACCCCGCCGGCCUCCGCACUGACUGGUUCCUCCAGCCUGAAACCGGAGCAAAUCAAUGAUUUUUAGUGAAGUGGGUUAGAGUCGUGCCGUCUGCAGGAGAGCAUUUCCAUCAGCUUAAAAAUGGACCUGUGUGCCCAGCUGCUCCUACUCCCAGCCCUAGGGAAUCGCUAGCCUGCGUUCUGUCUAUAAAUUCACCUUUGCAGGACAUGGCAGAAAUCAGGGCAAGGGAGGAGUUAUUAGAGAAGCCUCAAGACCCAGAGGGAAGGAAGCAACGGAAGGCAGGGGCUGGAGACGAGGCGGCCAUCGGGCAACUGCGUGCCAGUCUUCACCUGCAGCUCGCGCCACACACAUGCAUGAUCUGUACCGGACGAGGCGAGGGGAAAGGCAGGCAGGAGCUAUUCUCUUCCAUGCCUUUAUGAAGCAGGUCACAGUCCUAAUGGCCCUGUCCCCAGGCUGCCUGCAGUGCCAUGUGGAGAGAGCUCACAGAGCCGCAGAGUUCGCGCUCUGCUGAACUCGCCGAGAAUCUCCCUGAAGACACCUGAGGAAUUGCCACCACUCGUACUUUAAUUUUGAACCAUGUGGAUGUCUUCUGUUUAAAAAAAAAAAAAUCAGCAAUGGUCAUGGGAAAUAGUGUUAAACUUGGAAAUUUUAAGACAAUUUAGAUAAAAUCUAAAAAUUCACCUGUAGUUCCAGAACUCAAAGAUUACCAUUGUUCUCUGGGUACACAAAACCUGGGUGGGGUUGUCUGGUUUUAAAAACAGGUCGUGGGGCUGGCACAGUGGGUUAAAGCCCUGGCCUGAAGCUCCGGCAUCCCAUAUGGGUUCAAGUCCCGGCUGCUCCUCUUCCGAUCCAGCUCUCUGCUAUGGCCUGGGAGAGCAGCAGAAGAUGGACUUGGGCCCCUGAACCCACAUGGGAGACCCAGAAGAAGCUCCUGGCUCUGGAUUGGCACAACUCCAGCCAUUGCAGCCAUCUAGAAAGUGAACCAGCAGAUGGAAGACGUCUCUACCUCUUUAAAAAAAAAAAAAAAUACUGGGGUUGUAAGAGAAGCACAAAAGCACCAUCUGUUUCCAUUUAGCAGCAGUCCAAGGGCAGCUUUCUUCCCCCAAGAGACUGCCAUAGUGAUGCCUUGUGGUGCACUGCUGCUUACUACAGCAUCGUCUCCCCUUCUUCCUGUAGUAACCAAGCUGUUUUAGGGGGUGUCACUGUGUGUGCAAGUACCGGGACUGUCUCUGCCUUCUCUGCAGCAAGGUGGGGCCAUUUGGGGAGUGAGCCAGCAGACGGAAAAUCUGUCCUGUUAGGAGACGAUGGCUUUAGCUCCAGACAGCACAUCUGUAUUGCAAGUCCCAGGCAAGGAGUGAAAGAAAUGCCAGUGUUCUAAGGUUUCCUGGCAGUGUUAUGCAAUGUCUGCAUUCACAUCCAGACAUCAUCCUCUAACAGGAGCCCGGGUCCCCACUGACGACUUAAAUAUAUACAUUUGAAAGGCGGAGGGACAGAGCUCUGCCAUCUGCUGGUUCACUCCCCAAAUGGCUGCAACCUGACCAUGAAAGACCCCAGCAAGAACUCCAGGACUCCAUCCUACUGUUUCCUUAAGUAGGAAAAGGCAGCACCUGGCCGGUAACCAUUUUGCCAGUGGGGCUAGGUAAGCCUCUUCUGUACUGGACUGAGAACUCGGGGCUAACACGGUGCAGCCAGCAGCGAUGCCUCUGCUGUCUCAGCUUACACUGGUCUUCUCACAGAGAUGUUCACGUUCUUCUGGCUUUCAUUCAUCCCGUUUUCAAUGUUUACCAUCUCCAUGGAUGUUCAAAGAGUGGCUAACAGAAAAGGCAGCAUGUGAAGCCAUCUUUAAGUCCAGUCUUAAGUUCACUGAAGAGAUAAGAAUAUGGAUUAAAAAAAAAAAAAAAACACACCAUGGCAUUACCAAAGCUUGAAAGAACUUUAUUGUGGCUGUGGCAAGGUGCGUCCUAUCCUUGGCAGGUGACACCAGAGAGCACUGAAUGCCGGUGUGAAUGAUUUGCACUUGACCCCACGGGCAUCAGGGAAUCACUCGGGAUUGUCCAGCAGAUUGAGGGCUCAGAUUUGCUAGAGAAUUCUGGUAGCAGCAAGUAUGACCCGGCACGGGGAGGCAGGCUACUGCACGGUCAAAAAACAACGAAAGCCCAACCCAGGGCAGUGGCGACGGGAACAGGAAGGAGGGCAGGGUAUGGCAGUAUCCAGAAGACAGACUACAUGAGACAACACUG